CGCAAUCCCGGCCCCUUGCGCCUCCAGCCCCCACCCCGCGGCCCCGGCAGGUGCCCGGCUUGGACGAGUCUCGGCGCGUCAUCUGGGAAAACCCUGAGAUCCCGAGGGGGCUCGACCGGGCGGAUCCCGCGGCAGGGUUAGAAGUGCGCUCCUGAGACCCGGGUUCAGGUCUGACUUGGCAGCAUUGUAGUCGGGGUGACCUUGGGCAAGUCGGUGACACCCUGAGCCUCCGUUUCCGCCUGUGCGAGAGCGGCGAUAACAGCACUGCCCCGCCCCGCCCCGCGGAGCUGAUGAGAUCGGGAGCCGGGCGUCGGCGGGAGGCAGUGGAGUAGAAAUCAUGGGUUUUGGACUCCCAGGCACGGGUGUGAAUGCCGACUCUCCGCUCACUGGCUGAAUGACCUUGGAGACGUUGCUGAGCAGCUCUGAGCUUACCUGUGCCUUGGGGCAGUGAGAUCUGCUCCUGAAUGAACUCCCCAAGGGGCCUUCCCGGUCAUGGACCCCAGCGAGUCUCUGCACAGCCCUCCUGCCACCAAUGCCUGGCUUCCUGACUCUUUCCAGUGCAGCUCUCCCUCCACACUGUCCGUCCCUCCUGAGCAUCUUAUUCCCUGCUGCAUUCCUGAGGCAUAGCCCAGAGCCACGCAUACAGUAGGUGCCCAGUAACUAUUCGAGGAAUGAGCAGAGGAAGGAGGAAAGCAUGCCACAGACAGGGAUGAAGCCACUCUUCCCAUUCCAGCCUCCAGGCCCCAGGAUGACUCAGACAUGGUCCUCACAUACAAGGAGUUUGUGGCUUAGUCAGGGAGCCUGACAAACAGCCCAAGAAUCACAAAACUCUAUAUGGGGUGUUAUAAAUAGAUGCAUGAGCAGGAGUCCCAGGAAGGGGCCCCACUCCACCUGGGUGGGGCUAAGGAAGCAUCUCAGAUGAGGUGACCUUGACAUAGGGCCUUUAAGGCCCAGUAGGAGCUUGCCAGGCAGAGACAAGAGAGAGCAACCCUGGAAAAACUGCAGAGCCUGGCCGGGCGUAAAGGCCACACGGAGGCCCGGCCGUGCUGCAGUGCAGAGUGCUGGGGCGGGGGGCACAGCUGGGGGUGCCAUCAACAUUCAACUUCUGCCUCCAAGGGGCACACUCAGGCCGGGGACGCCACAGACUCUCAGAAAAUGGAAAAGCCGGUGCACAUGGGUUCCACUAGGCUGCCUGUUGCUGACUCCUAAGAGAAAAGUUACAAAUGCAUCUCUCGGCAAAUGCUGGGAAUUGGAGGCUCAGGAGGGGAAGAGAGUGGCCCCAGUAGGUAUGGGUAUGACUGGGCUGGAGCGAGAGGAUGGUCAAACCCAGGACAGGGGUAGCUCAUUCAUUCAUUCAUUGAACAGAUCCUCAUCGGCACUUGCUGUGCACCCAGCAGUGGGGCCACAGCACUGGACAAGGCAGAGGCAGCUCCUUGUACGCAGGGAAGUACGUCCUGGGAGACCAAGCAGACAUGCAGAAUGCCUAAGUGAGAUGACGACGUCGGGCAUGACAAAUGCUGUGGAGGCACCAAGGAAUGUGUCUGAGGGUGAGGGCUGUCAUUUUAAAGAGGGAGGUCAGGAAAAGCCUCCUGGAAGAUGACACAUGAGCAGAAACCUGAGGAGGUGAGGAAGAGGAAGAGCCCUCCAGGUGGAGGGCCAGCAUGUGCAAAGGCCCCGAGGUGGAUGGCUCUUGGGAGAAGCAAGGUGACCAAUGUGGCUGAGUGGUGGGAGGUGAGGGGCCCUGUUCUAUACACUGCACACAUGUUCACUCAGCCAUCCCAGCAGUCUCACACCCACAUGGUGGCACACCCCAGGUACAUACCCACAUGCUUACGAGCAAAACGGGGUGCACAAGCAGGUGCACAAAAGCAGAGUGGCCACACAGUGUGGCCACGUCCACAAACAACCCCACGCACAGCCAGGCACACCUGGUGUGUUAGCCACAGUUGGCUGGCCCACAGCGCCCUCUAGUGCGCAGGCCCGGCACAGCGGUGCUCUGGGUGCUCUGCACAGGAUCUAUCACCUUCUGUGCUGGACCGUCCAGCCUCCCGGUCUCUAUGCCCCUUGCCCCCAGCCCUUCCACCCUGCAGCCAAACAGAGAGGCUCCCAAGACAGGGCUGUCGUGUUCCAACACUCUAGCCCUCCCGGUGUCUCCAGACGCCCCAGCCCAGCUGCUCCCAGCCCGAGCCUUCACCUUGAAGCUUUCUUUGCAAAGGCUGUUUGUUCUCGUGGCCAAGAAUGCCCUCCCUGUCUUCUCCGCUUGACUCAUUCCCACCCCACUGCCCACCCUGCCAGCGCCCUGCGCAUGCCCUCAUCACAGAUCAUCUCUGCUUUGUCAGUGGCCAGAACCUGUAGGAUUUGUGCUGCUCCAAAGCAAGGGCAGGGGCUGGCUCCCCGAGCCCAGCACUGGCUGUGCUACAGGUGGAGCCUGGGGAAGGGUGAGUGUCCCUAGAUAAGUUUGGAGGCAAGUGGUAGCUGGUACUCGAGGUCUGGCUCUGAAGCUGCAAUAGACGGGAGAAGCCAUAAGGGCUCACUUGCUUAUCUUAUCUUACUUAUUUUGCAGUACUAGCUAUUGAACCCAGGGCCUCACACAGACUGGGCAAGUGCUCUAUCACUAAGCUACCCUCCCAGCCUUAUUUAAAUUAAUUUGCAAUGAGGUCUCACUGAGUCUCCCAGGCCUUGAACUUGCAACCCUCCUGCCUUAGCCUUCCAAGUAGCUGGGAUUACACCACAUACCUGCUAUUUUUUAAAUGGCCACCAAUCUUGAAUAUCAAAGGAUGAAUUCAUACAAGUGACAUGGCUCUACCUGCAAAGCAGCCAGUAGCACAUUCACAGCCCCUGCUGUAUGCCAAUCCCUCGAAGCGCAUCCUCUGUGGGCUCACUGCAGUGUCCACACACAGUAGAUGCUCAGCAGACAUUUGUGGACUGGAGGGAAGCUCCCAGUACCUCAUCAAGGAGCACGCUGUGAUCGUGUCCAUUUAGCAGAAAGGAAAACAGGGUCAGAGGGAUGUUGGAAUGUGCACAAGGCUGCUAUUGUUCAAACACCAAGCUGUCAAGUGGAAAGUUUUCCCUACCCUUUCCUGUGCCUGCUUCCAUUAAAAUGGUCCCAACACUGGUUCUGAGCAAGA
Long non-coding RNA from Chinchilla lanigera (long-tailed chinchilla), 3128 nucleotides. RefSeq lists it as uncharacterized. The transcript is spliced from 3 exons. The record is from RefSeq and is a predicted model, not a curated record. NCBI's taxonomy places the organism in Eukaryota, Metazoa, Chordata, Mammalia, Rodentia, Chinchillidae.